RNAcentral lists this ribosomal RNA (482 nucleotides) under uncultured bacterium. RNAcentral's name for it is "partial 16S ribosomal RNA". It matches the Rfam family "Bacterial small subunit ribosomal RNA", at positions 30 to 507 of the family's 1533-position model. The record is from RNAcentral.
AUUGAACGCUGGCGGCAUGCUUUACACAUGCAAGUCGAACGGCAGCGCGGGGCAACCUGGCGGCGAGUGGCGAACGGGUGAGUAAUAUAUCGGAACGUACCCAGAAGUGGGGGAUAACGUAGCGAAAGUUACGCUAAUACCGCAUACGAUCUACGGAUGAAAGUAGGGGACCGCAAGGCCUUAUGCUUUUGGAGCGGCCGAUAUCUGAUUAGCUAGUUGGUGAGGUAAAGGCUCACCAAGGCGACGAUCAGUAGCUGGUCUGAGAGGACGACCAGCCACACUGGAACUGAGACACGGUCCAGACUCCUACGGGAGGCAGCAGUGGGGAAUUUUGGACAAUGGGCGCAAGCCUGAUCCAGCAAUGCCGCGUGAGUGAAGAAGGCCUUCGGGUUGUAAAGCUCUUUUGUCAGGGAAGAAACGGUAGAGGCUAAUAUCCAUUGCUAAUGACGGUACCUGAAGAAUAAGCACCGGCUAACUACGUG